GUGUCAGCCGCCGCGGUAAGACGGACCACCCAAACGUUAUUCGGAAUCACUGGGCUUAAAGGGUGCGUAGGCGGUGUAGUAAGUCGGGUGUGAAAUCCCCCAGCUUAACUGAGGAAUUGCGCCCGAAACUGCUGCGCUCGAGGGAGACAGAGGUGAGCGGAACUGAUGGUGGAGCGGUGAAAUGCGUUGAUAUCAUCAGGAACACCGGUGGCGAAAGCGGCUCACUGGGUCUCUUCUGACGCUCAGGCACGAAAGCUAGGGGAGCAAACGGGAUUAGAAACCCCCGUAGUCC
This 292-nucleotide ribosomal RNA is filed under the name uncultured bacterium. RNAcentral describes it as "partial 16S ribosomal RNA". It matches the Rfam family "Bacterial small subunit ribosomal RNA", at positions 505 to 796 of the family's 1533-position model. The record is from RNAcentral.